AGUGAACGCUGGCGGUAGGCCUAACACAUGCAAGUCGAACGGCAGCACAGUAAGAGCUUGCUCUUACGGGUGGCGAGUGGCGGACGGGUGAGGAAUACAUCGGAAUCUACUUUUUCGUGGGGGAUAACGUAGGGAAACUUACGCUAAUACCGCAUACGACCUACGGGUGAAAGAAGGGGAUCUUCGGACCUUGCGCGAUUGAAUGAGCCGAUGUCGGAUUAGCUAGUUGGCGGGGUAAAGGCCCACCAAGGCGACGAUCCGUAGCUGGUCUGAGAGGAUGAGCAGCCACACUGGAACUGAGACACGGUCCGGACUCCUACGGGAGGCAGCAGUGGGGAAUAUUGGACGAUGGGCGCAAGCCUGAUCCAGCCAUGCCGCGUGGGUGAAGAAGGCCUUCAGGUUGUAAAGCCCUUUUGUUGGGAAAGAAAAUCAGCAGGUUAAUACCCCGCUGUUCUGACGGUACCCAAAGAAUAAGCACCGGCUAACUUCGUG
Molecule: ribosomal RNA, 492 nt
Filed under: uncultured bacterium
Lineage: Bacteria
Description: partial 16S ribosomal RNA
Rfam family: Bacterial small subunit ribosomal RNA
Source: RNAcentral